AGUAGGAUUGCUGGGUCAUAUGGUAACUCUGUGUUUAAUCUUUUGAGAAACAACCAGACUGUUUUCCAAUAUGGCUGCACAAUUCUGCAUUCUCACCAGCAGA
Molecule: microRNA precursor, 103 nt
Filed under: Marmota monax (woodchuck)
Lineage: Eukaryota; Metazoa; Chordata; Mammalia; Rodentia; Sciuridae
Source: RNAcentral